This is a non-coding RNA of Phalacrocorax carbo (great cormorant), 84 nucleotides long. The record is from RefSeq and is a predicted model, not a curated record. NCBI's taxonomy places the organism in Eukaryota, Metazoa, Chordata, Aves, Suliformes, Phalacrocoracidae.
GUCCAAAAUACAGUGAUGUUGUCUUUUCCAAGCACGUAUCUAGUUGUGUUGUGUGGGAAAAUGACUUGCUGAGUGAUCUUAGAU